CAACAUUCGUUGACGAGAACACGUACGUGUCAAGGUAGUCCUCAGAGAGUCGACAGUCGGUGAAAGUCGAUGGCGAAUUGGGACGUAUAUCCUCUCAGAGAUUCCGUGCUGAACGUAAGCAGUAGGCGCGGACGGAUUCCUCCGUUACAGGGAUUGCGCCAACAGGCGUUAACCAAGCGCUGUGUCGUCAUUGCGAUGCAGAAUAAGGGUGGUACCGCGAGUGACAAGCUCGUCCCUUUU
RNAcentral lists this non-coding RNA (240 nucleotides) under Paenibacillus sp. RNAcentral describes it as "T-box sequence". It matches the Rfam family "T-box leader". From Rfam's summary of the family: Uncharged tRNA acts as the effector for transcription antitermination of genes in the T-box leader family. T-boxes are found upstream of many aminoacyl-tRNA synthetase genes and some amino acid biosynthetic genes usually in Gram-positive bacteria. The record is from RNAcentral. Lineage: Bacteria; Bacillati; Bacillota; Bacilli; Caryophanales; Paenibacillaceae.